CAGUCGCCGCGGUAAUACGGAGGGGGCUAGCGUUGUUCGGAAUUACUGGGCGUAAAGCGCACGUAGGCGGCUUGGUAAGUUAGAGGUGAAAGCCCGGAGCUCAACUCCGGAAUUGCCUUUAAGACUGCCGAGCUAGCAGGUGAGAGAGGUAAGUGGAAUUCCGAGUGUAGAGGUGAAAUUCGUAGAUAUUCGGAGGAACACCAGUGGCGAAGGCGGCUCACUGGUCCAUUACUGACGCUGAGGUGCGAAAGCGUGGGGAGCAAACAGGAUUAGAUACCCCUGUAGUCCCUGUCUCUUAUAC
This 301-nucleotide ribosomal RNA is filed under the name uncultured bacterium. RNAcentral describes it as "partial 16S ribosomal RNA". It matches the Rfam family "Bacterial small subunit ribosomal RNA", at positions 509 to 807 of the family's 1533-position model. The record is from RNAcentral.